This 190-nucleotide ribosomal RNA is filed under the name uncultured bacterium. Its description in RNAcentral is "partial 16S ribosomal RNA". It matches the Rfam family "Bacterial small subunit ribosomal RNA", at positions 1311 to 1500 of the family's 1533-position model. The record is from RNAcentral.
CUCGCCUGCAUGAAGUCGGAAUUGCUAGUAAUCGCAGAUCAGCAUGCUGUGGUGAAUACGUUCCCGGGCCUUGUACACACCGCCCGUCACACCAUGGGAGUCGGUAACACCCAAAGUUGGUAGUCUAACCGCAAGGAGGACGCCGCCUAAGGUGGGAUUGAUGACUGGGGUGAAGUCGUAACAAGGUAUC